Mauremys reevesii (Reeves's turtle) is the source of this 963-nucleotide long non-coding RNA. RefSeq lists it as uncharacterized. The record is from RefSeq and is a predicted model, not a curated record. NCBI's taxonomy places the organism in Eukaryota, Metazoa, Chordata, Testudines, Geoemydidae. The transcript has 3 exons.
GGAGAUUGAAGAGGGAGGACUGGGUUCCUGGAAGACCAGCAGGACUGUGGCUUGCUCACUGCAGCCCGUGGGAAGGCUGCUGAGGAUAGGAUGCCUGUGCUAGGCUGGAAGAGCGGCAGGACUAUGGACAGGUACACCUGCUUCUAAUUAGCACCCCAGAAACUGCACACCUGCAAUGAUUGGCAAUCCCUGGAUUUGAGGAUGAUCUUUACCAUGGAUUUACAUAUGGGUCCUGGAACUGCAAAUCUGCCUGCAGUAGGUAGAGAUUUGAAUGUGUUGCUAGGAAGAAGCAAAACAUGAAAUACUUGGGUGUUCAGAGACUACAAGGAAGGGGAUCAUAUAUGAAACGAGGUAGAUGUGUUUCCAUCACAAUUUGCCGGACCUAAUUUCUGGACACCUGAAGUCCAUUUGGAAUAACAGCUCACUCUGGUAUUGAGAAUUCCAAUGACCAAAACCUUACCAGGUCAUUUAAAUGAAGGUGGUAGUUCCAUUUUGCCUUGAGAGGUACAGAGAUCAAUUUAGCAGAGAAGAAUUCUUAAACAACUCAAUUUCUUUCUUCAAGGAAGUUAAAAUGAAAGUGGAGUGAGGUAAGGAAUAGAUAUAAUUGGCUUGGACUUCAAGAAGCUUUUUAGUACAAAAUUGUGUAAAGUAAGCAAGAGACUAUUGGUGAGGAAAUACUGUUUGGAUAAACAGAUGGCUGAGUAACAGGCUGGCGUGCUAUCGCAGAAGACUGAUAUGUAUCACGUAGGCAUCAGAAGACAAAGAGCUCAGUGGGGACAGGUAUGGGCAAAGUGUUUGGUCUCUUCAUAUUAUACAUCAAGGUCAUAGGGCAAUUGUGAACUAUGCUUUCACAAAUGUGCUUGAAAAGAAAAUUGUGGGGAAAAAUACAGGCAAAUAACAAAACAAGUUAACUGGUUAUUUGGCAGUGACUGCCUUUUUAUACUGUGGCUAUGGUUUAGCACU